UCGUAAAACUCUGUUUUCAGGGACGAAUGUGCAGUAUGUAAAUAAUGUAUUGUAAUGACGGUACCUGAGUAGAAAGCCACGGCUAACUACGUGC
RNAcentral lists this ribosomal RNA (94 nucleotides) under uncultured bacterium. Its description in RNAcentral is "partial 16S ribosomal RNA". The record is from RNAcentral.